UUCGGAUCGCAGGCUGAAACUCGCCUGCGUGAAGUUGGAAUUGCUAGUAAUCGCGGAUCAGCAUGCCGCGGUGAAUACGUUCCCGGGCCUUGUACACACCGCCCGUCACACCAUGGGAGCCGGUAAUACCCGAAGUCAGUAGUCCAACCUCGUGAGGACGCUGCCGAAGGUAGGAUUGGCGACUGGGGUGAAGUCGUAACAAGGUAUC
This 208-nucleotide ribosomal RNA is filed under the name uncultured bacterium. RNAcentral's name for it is "partial 16S ribosomal RNA". It matches the Rfam family "Bacterial small subunit ribosomal RNA", at positions 1292 to 1500 of the family's 1533-position model. The record is from RNAcentral.